UUUGUCUCCCUUCUCUCUAGAACUUUUCGAUUCUCUCUUCUUCUCCGAUGAACCCCACCACCUCUCCGGCCACCUCAAACCUCACCUCCUUCGACGACCAGUAGCUGUGAAGCCUUACCUCGUUGAUUCCCUCUAUCUUUGACUCCCCAGGAGCCUCCACCAUGCCAGAUGGUCUUGAAAGCUUUGCCCGGUUUGUCUCCGGCCUUUCUCCGAUGGCUUUUUGUCCGAUAGUUCUAUGAACACCAUUAUUGUUGAGUUUUACGGCCAGGUUUCUCUCACUUCUCACCGUUUUCUUAUGAAAACCUAAUCUCUACCCAACCUCCUAAAUCUCUGUAGUUUUUACGAUUUUUUAACUCAUACCUUUGUAUUUUACACUAGUCUCUACUCGAUCUUUACGAUUGUUCAAAUUUUAAACGUUUUGUUCCCCUUUUUUGAAACUAGGGUUUCUGAACCCCUUUCCAAAAUCACUCUUUUUCUGAUUUUUGAGUAUCAACUUGUGAUUCUCAAUACUACUUAUAAACGUUUUUCUUAAGUUUGAUGAAACCCUAAAUUCUUAUGAUUGUGUUUGCAUAUUUGCGUGUUUGUAUGUUCUUCUGGGUUCUUCUCCGAGUUUCGUGCUCUUUGUUUUAAUUUUGUUGUUAGUAUUUCAUUCCCCUACCAUUCUGUGUUCUUCUCUUAAAGCUUAUCUAGUGCUUACACGAUGAUUUUAUACUGUUUAUCUGAGCCCUCUUUAAGACCGUGAUACUUGCUUUGAAAUUGUGAUUCUACAUAUUUUCCCUAUAGUUUGAAUUACAUUCUUAAAUUGUGGGAUACUUUCCUCAAUAAAUACUGAUUUCCUAGGUCUUCAAUCUUGUUCAUUAUUUUAAUAAUUAUUUCCCUAAAUUACAGUGGUAUUUUUCCCUAUAUAUGUGCACAAAUGUUUUGAUUGGUUUGCCUAACAUAUUUCCCUAAUUAGAGUGCCAUGUACCUAGUCUUUAUUGAUAUCAUAUGUUACUAUGUUUUCUUAUGUGAUUAUACCCUACUUUAUGAAUUCUUUCCUUUUAAAUGACUGAUUUUUACCAUUUGAUUUGGAUUCCUUAAUUAAAGGAAAGUCCAUAUACUAAUUUGAUUGUGAUUGAUGUCAAUUCCUUAAUUAAAUGACUGCUGCCUUAUUGUUCACUCGUAUACAGUACUAUAAAAACCCCCAUUCUCUUUUGCAAACACAAAACAGUCUUCUGUCUUACACAUACCACUGAAUACUUUAUAAUUCUCUCUUGCUCUCUUGCUCUUUUGGUCUAUUACUGUUCUCUGCUCCUGCUCAUUAUCAACCGGCUGAAAGCCAAGACCAAUAUAGUGUUACUACUUUGUCUUUGCAUCUUGCUUUUGCUCUUUUAUUGGUAUGUCCUCUAUUUGAUUUACAAUUUCGAAAAUAACAUGUUUUUAUGUGUAUUGCACUUCCUCUUGUUUCUUUUAUGCUUCUAUCUAUGGUUCUGUUGUUCUUAUUGCAAUUAGAAUGCCUCUGUGUAAGUUUAUUGAUGUGACUAUCUUUCCUUUAAUUCAAAAUGCCUACUGCUUCCCUUAUUUGUUUAAUGCAUGUUCUUCCCUACCACUAACCCCAGUUCAUUGUCAACAUUUAUUCCUUGACCAUUCAGGAUGAAAUAUGUUGUUACUGUUUAAGUUCUGAAAUGCUUUUCUCUGAUGUCUAUGUAUGUGUGAUUCUGCACUUACAUGUGGACUACUUGUCCCAAUGUCCCAUGUCCCAUGUUUGUGUUUUUUCCCCUGAACUAUGCAUUAUAUUCUAGUUCUGAGAUUGUCUUAGCCACCUUCUUACAAGAACUAUCACACUCUUCUAUUGUUUUCUUACAAGAACUGAUUCUAUAUGGAUCAAUUUUCUUAAAACUGUUUUCUUUUCUCAACUCAAUUUCUUUAAAACUAUAUCACACACUCUCACUACUCUUAGAAAAAUAGGUUAUGCCCCCUUUCAUGUAAACAUUGCUUUGGGUAUCUCUGAAUAGCCAUUGAACAUUGAUGAACAAGGCUGGUAAUUUCACACUGCACGUGUUCAACAUUCUUGAUAAAUGUUUCGGUAUUGGUAUUGACCAGGGAUCCAAUGGGGCCCUAGGGAGCGUUUCCGCACCCAGACCAUAGUUGUGAAGCUCGAAAGAUGUGAGAUUGGAAGAUUGGGCCUGGUUGAAGGCUCCCUAUAGAGUAACUUCUUAUUUUAUUCUUUACUAAUUUAAUUCAGCUAUCAUGGUUUGUAAUAACUUGAAAACAACUAAUUGGGGUUAUAAUGAAAUUGGGAGGGGGUAGAAAAUAUGCUUAUAGGACUUUACUUACUUAUUUGUGCAUUUGAUAUCCUGUAUAGGACAUGAAUCUCAUACAAUUAGCGAUCCUGUUUUAGGCUCUUUACUUUCCACCUGUUAUCAUAUUCAUUUUUUAAUUAUGAUCUAUUAAUAACCAACAAGUAAUUGUCAUAAAACUACUGCUGCAUUUUUAC
This 2476-nucleotide long non-coding RNA is filed under the name Nicotiana benthamiana. RNAcentral describes it as "long non-coding RNA (NBEN_LNC017577)". The record is from RNAcentral. Lineage: Eukaryota; Viridiplantae; Streptophyta; Magnoliopsida; Solanales; Solanaceae.